AGGCGUUAUUAGCAUAUUUUUCAUCAAUACUAUACUUAACAGCUCCUCCAUAGCAGGAAGUGGUAUUUAACCUCUUGUUCCAACGUAACGAGAUUACUUUGGUGGUUAUGUUCGUUCCAUUCAUAAAGAGCCUCCUGUGCCCACUUAAUGAGAUUCGCUGGGCUCCAGCUGAACUGGGAGCGAGCUCCGGGAUGGAUUCGGAAUAUUGACAUUUCAACCUGGGUUUGUGUCCGAGGCUGCACUGGGGCGGUGUGAAGCCCCAUGGUGACAGAUAAGGGGUGUCGCUGGAAAAUCCUGCAGCUUCUGGUAGUUAAAGGUUGUUUGGAAUAGAUGAACAUCACCUGAGGUUUGAGGCACAGCCAGGUGAAACUGGUUUUUCCUUUAUGUGGAUAUAAAACUCUGAGCUGGGGGGCUCUGCUGCUAUAAAACUUUGGUGUUUCACUGAAUUCAGUGAAUGGGAAAAUGACAGAAGUAGAAUUUGGAAUAAAGCUACAAAGCAGGAAUCCAUCCUUCAGCCCACCCACAUCAGCACAGCAAGAGCUGGAACUGCAGCACGUGUGGAACAUCCUGUGCUGGUUGUGCUGCAUUGGUCUGGGGAUUAAACACCUCUGGAGAGGCAAAGGAGCUCCAGUUCUAAAUGAAACCUCAAAUAUCGUGGGAGCUGGAAACCCGAAACCCCAGAGUUUGUACCAAGAACCUGCUGGAUUGAGCAGCGGGGCUCUGAAUAUCCUCAUUCAUCUCCAGAAUCACCAUCAGCUGCCUCUGUGACUGCAGAGCCCCAAAAUUAUGGAAGUUUGCACAAACAGCCCCUCACACUGUGAAUUAAACCCCUUUUUCCUUGGUUUUGAGCACUCAUGGAUGGAACUUCCAUCGUGUUUCACAGAUAACAAAAUCACAUGGCCAGCCCAGGAGCAUCCUGAGCACUCCCACCCAUCCCAGGAGGGCUCUGGAGGAUGGGGCUGGGAGAAGAUGCUGUUCUCUGGCUGUGGAACAAGAGCAGAGCUGGACAUGCCACUCCUCAGGACUCAGUGAUGAUUGCCACACCAUGAACACAAACUCAUGUCUUCAGAACUUCUCCCCUGUGAUCAGGUUUGACCGAGGCGCUCGGCAGCUUCUAGAAUGGAGGAUGGACUGAGGGGAAACAUAACCUUUGUUUUGCUAUACAGGAGAAAAAAAAUACAAAUAAAAAGUCCCUCCAUUAUCACAGUUAUAAUGGUAUAAAAGGCGUUUAGGGAGGAGUCUCCUGGGUUUGGAUUGGGAUAGAGUCUGGAAGAGUCACUGCCCUUGCCAACACUCAGUUUAACACCCUUAUGAACUGCCUCUGAAUUUGAAUGUCUGAGUCUCUGCACUCAAUCUUGAUAAACUGGCCCGACCAUGAAUGCUAAUCACCCUGAUUUACAUUGCCUGCAGAGCUAUGGACAACUUCAUAUCAGCAACCUCGCAGCAGCUCCCUUGGCAUGUUCCAACGGGGAACUUGGGAACUUCCCCCGUGCCUCCUGGGCACUGGAGAGGAGCCCUGGGAGUGAGGGAAUGAGCACUGGGAGUGAGCAGUGGCAGUGUGAAUGCAGUGGACUGUGCAAUGAGCACUGGGAGUGGAUGAGCACUGGGAGUGAGGGAAUGAGCACUGGAGUGAGAGCACUGGGAUAGCGGAGUGUGAUACUGGGAAGUGAGCACUGGGAGUGAGCAGUGGGAGAGGAUGGCACUGGGAGAUGGCACUGGGAGUGAGGAAUGAGGCACUGGAUGACUGGAAGUGAGCACUGGGAGUGAGCAGUGGAGAGUGCACUGGGAGUGAUCAGUGUGCACUGGGAGUGUACUGGAAGUGAGGGAAUGAGCACUGAGCCCUGGGAGUGAGCACUGGGAGCUUUGUCUGGCAGGAGCUGCAGCAGCGCAGGAACACCAAGGGAACUGCUGUGCUUCAAAGACCCUUCUCUUUUUUGGCUCUCCAAGCUCUAAAGAUGUAGGUAACACACGCGAAAAGACAUUUUCAGUUACAUUUGGGUUCUGAACACAUAAAGAAAGAUUUAAGUUUGAAACUUGUGUGUUCUUCUCAGCAACAAGCGGAGCUGCCCAGAGGAGCCAAGGCAGGAUUUGAGGCAGUGUCCUCUCCCUCGGUGAGAGUUAGCAAUGAGCACAGGGAGACAGACACAACACAUACAUCAGCACACACAUCCCUAUCCGGUUUUUCCAUGGAUGGAACCAUUCCAGAGGACAGCAAUUCCCAGGGCUGGGCAGAGCCAGCUGCUGGCAGUUCCUGGUGGCAGGAGCUCCACGUGCUGCUGGGGCAGGGUGUUCCAACAGCUCCUGUUAUCACCACCCGAGCUGCUCCUGGAAACUCGCUGCGCAGCUCCCUUGGUGGUAGAAGAUUGUUCUUCUGCGCUUUUCUUAAAAAAAUAAAUAAAAUGUCAAGCCCGAAAAGGAAGCCUGCUAUUUUUCAAAUCCGGGAGCUGUAAUCAUGCUAAUCCAUAUGAUCGUGCUGAAGCCAAGCAAAAUGCCUUUUGCAUAUGAUGUAAUCAGCCAGGGCAGCCUAUUUAUAACCACCACGGGCUGGGAACACCUUCCCAGAAAAAUACAAUCAGGACAGCUUUCCCUUGCUCACAUUCUUCCUCUUCCUCCCCGUAUUCUUCACUUUCUUUGUGCUUUUUCACCUACUUGUGCUGCCUUCCCAG
This is a long non-coding RNA of Zonotrichia leucophrys gambelii, 2666 nucleotides long. RefSeq lists it as uncharacterized. Lineage: Eukaryota; Metazoa; Chordata; Aves; Passeriformes; Passerellidae. The record is from RefSeq and is a predicted model, not a curated record. The transcript is spliced from 5 exons.